UUUUGUAAGUCAGAUUGGAAUUCGUUGAGCUCAAUUUAGGAAAUGCGUUUGAAAGUGCAAGGACUAGCAUCUGUCAGAAGGGGGUAGAAUUNCUCGUGUAGCAGUGAAAUCCGUAGAUAUGUGUAGGAAUACCAAUGGCGAAGGCAGCCCCCUGGGAUAAUAUUGACGUCAUGCAUGAAAGCGUGGGGAGCAAACAGGAUUAGAUAUCCUGGUAGUACACUCCCUAAAAGAUGUGUACUAGUUGUUGGUGGAGUAAAAUCCAUGAGUAACGCAGCUAACGCGUGAAGUAGACCGCAGGGGAGUACGGUCGCAAGAUUAAAACUCAAAUGAAUUGACGGGGGCCCGCACAAGCGGUGGGUUAUGUGGAUUAAUUCGAUGCAACGCGAAAAACCUUACCUGGCCUUGACAUGUACCGAAUUUACCAGAGAUGGUUUAGUGCUCGAAAGAGAACGGUAACACAGGUGCUGCAUGGCUGUAGUCAGCUCGUGUCGUGAGAUGCUGGGUUAAGUCCCGCAACGAGCGCAACCCUUGCCAUUAAUUGCCAUCAUUUAGUUGGGCACUUUAAUGGGACUGCCGGUGACAAACCGGAGGAAGGUGGGGAUGACGUCAAGUCCUCAUGGCCCUUAUGGCCAGGGCUUCACACGUAAUACAAUGGUCGGUACAGAGGGUCGCCAACCCGCGAGGGGGAGCCAAUCCCAGAAAGCCGAUCGUAGUCCGGAUUGUAGUUUGCAACUCGACUACAUGAAGUGGGAAUCGCUAGUAAUCGCGGAUCAGCAUGUCGCGGUGAAUACGUUCCGGGGCCGUGUACACGCCGCCCG
This 818-nucleotide ribosomal RNA is filed under the name uncultured bacterium. RNAcentral's name for it is "bacterial SSU rRNA". It matches the Rfam family "Bacterial small subunit ribosomal RNA", at positions 579 to 1396 of the family's 1533-position model. The record is from RNAcentral.